This 301-nucleotide ribosomal RNA is filed under the name uncultured bacterium. RNAcentral describes it as "partial 16S ribosomal RNA". It matches the Rfam family "Bacterial small subunit ribosomal RNA", at positions 509 to 808 of the family's 1533-position model. The record is from RNAcentral.
CAGUAGCCGCGGUAAUACGUAGGGUGCAAGCGUUAAUCGGAAUUACUGGGCGUAAAGCGUGCGCAGGCGGUUUGUUAAGACAGAUGUGAAAUCCCCGGGCUCAACCUGGGAACUGCAUUUGUGACUGGCAAGCUAGAGUGUGGCAGAGGGGGUGGAAUUCCGCGUGUAGCAGUGAAAUGCGUAGAUAUGCGGAGAAACACCGAUGGCGAAGGCAGCCCCCUGGGCCAACACUGACGCUCAUGCACGAAAGCGUGGGGAGCAAACAGGAUUAGAUACCCCCGUAGUCCCUGUCUCUUAUACC